RNAcentral lists this ribosomal RNA (425 nucleotides) under uncultured bacterium. RNAcentral's name for it is "partial 16S ribosomal RNA". It matches the Rfam family "Bacterial small subunit ribosomal RNA", at positions 354 to 796 of the family's 1533-position model. The record is from RNAcentral.
GUGGGGAAUAUUGGGCAAUGGGCGAAAGCCUGACCCAGCAACGCCGCGUGAAGGAAGAAGGUCUUCGGAUCGUAAACUUCUAUCCUUGGUGAAGAUAAUGACGGUAGCCGAGAAGGAAGCCCCGGCUAACUACGUGCCAGCAGCCGCGGUAAUACGUAUGGGGCAAGCGUUGUCCGGAAUGAUUGGGCGUAAAGGGCGCGUAGGCGGCCUGGUAAGUCUGGAGUGAAAGUCCUGCUUUUAAGGUGGGAAUUGCUUUGGAUACUGUCGGGCUUGAGUGCAGGAGAGGUAAGUGGAAUUCCCGGUGUAGCGGUGAAAUGCGUAGAGAUCGGGAGGAACACCAGUGGCGAAGGAGACUUACUGGACUGUAACUGACGCUGAGGCGCGAAAGUGUGGGGAGCAAACAGGAUUAGAUACCCGUGUAGUCC